AUGCAAUCUAAAUAUAACACACACACACACAUAUAUAUAUAUAUGUAUAUAUAUAUAUAUAUGUGUGUGUGUAUAUACAUAUAUAUUACAUAUAUGUUGUAUCCCCCUAAAGAAUAUAAGUUCCUUGAAGGCAAGUUUCAUUUUUAUCUUUGCAUCACCAGUAUCUGCACAUGGGGUAUGACCAAUCAAUCAAAAUGCAUCUAUAAAAUGUGUGAUAAGUGCUGGGGAUACAAAGAAAUAGCAAAAUCCCUGCCUUCAAGGAGUUGACAUUCUAAUGAGAGAGACAACAUGUACAUAUGUAGGUUUAUACAAGAUACUUACAAAAUGGAUACAAGGUAACCUGAAAGGAAAAUGCACCAGAAGUCCUAAGAAAAAGCACUAAGAAGUCCACCUGAAGAAGGGGGCACUUGAGCUGAGCCUUGAAGGAAGCUAUCCUUGCAAAUAUUUGAACCCAACUAUGAUUGCGAGCUCAGAAGUCUUCUCUUUUCCACUCUAUAUCUACUCAUUUCCUCCAAUUAAACUUCCUAUGACACGCUCUCAAGCCCUUUUGUCAUCCUGGCUGCCUCUCAUCCUCAGCAUGCUCUAUAGCUUGUCAGUGUCCUCUCCUCUCCAUUCCCAUUACCAUGCUCCCAUCCUGCAUCAUAAACCUCCUUUCACACCCUCUUCCUCCAUCUUCAUACCGCUGCCAGAAUAAUCUUUCUUUACCUCUAGACCUGGAAAUGUGUUGCCUCUAAAAUUCUUCAGUGUUGCUGGUCAGCUCCAGGAGCAAGGAGGAAAGGGGAGAGGGAGAAAAUGAAUCAUGGAAAAAUAUUAUAUAUGUAUAUAUAUAUAUUUGUUUGUCUAAAGGGGGUCUAUGGGGUACUCAGGGAGGGGUAGUAUCUCUGGUAUGGAGGGCUUGUCGUGCCCUCCUAGGGCAGCUCUCCAACCUCUGACCCCCACCUGACACCCAGCUCUCACUUGUGGCUCCCAGUAGCUGCUAGCAUGUGGCAGUGGCCACACCCCGGGCAACGGCUUCGACAGGCCGGCUAAACCUUGUGAGGGUAGCCAUGGGGUUGUUGUCGACCCCUGGUGAACCAGGCCUUUGCUCACCCAGCAUGUGAAGACUGCUUCGGCAGAACAGGCGGAAGAAACCAAUAAGAAGGUUCAACAGCUGAGAUGGCGACGCAGCAAAGCACUGUGGAAUGCUAUGGGCAUGUUGGAGCACAAAGGACAACACGGCCAUCCAAUGCAGCUGAGGAAGUCUCCAGGUGUAACGACUUUUCGUGCCACUGGACCCAGGCUUCCAAUGCCGAGAGAGUGGGACUGUCUCUGUGCAUCGGCUUUUCCACUUAAAUCUCCUUCAUACACAAGUGUCUUUAUGCAUGCUCAUCUAUCAUAGAUGAAAACGCACAAAGACAAUCAUCAUCCUCGGUUUCCGAGAGACUACUACUGUUUGUCUAAAAGAUAAAAUAAAAU
Molecule: long non-coding RNA, 1455 nt
Filed under: Monodelphis domestica (gray short-tailed opossum)
Lineage: Eukaryota; Metazoa; Chordata; Mammalia; Didelphimorphia; Didelphidae
Description: lncRNA (ENSMODG00000043876.1)
Source: RNAcentral